CAGUCGCCACGGUAAUACGAAGGGGGCUAGCGUCGUUCGGAUUUACUGGGCGUAAAGCGCACGUAGGCGGAUCGAUCAGUCAGGGGUGAAAUCCCAGAGCUCAACUCUGGAACUGCCUUUGAUACUGUCGAUCUGGAGUAUGGAAGAGGUGAGUGGAAUUCCGAGUGUAGAGGUGAAAUUCGUAGAUAUUCGGAGGAACACCAGUGGCGAAGGCGGUUCACUGGUCCAUUACUGACGCUGAGGUGCGAAAGCGUGGGGAGCAAACAGGAUUAGAUACCCCUGUAGUCCCUGUCUCUUAUAC
RNAcentral lists this ribosomal RNA (301 nucleotides) under uncultured bacterium. RNAcentral describes it as "partial 16S ribosomal RNA". It matches the Rfam family "Bacterial small subunit ribosomal RNA", at positions 509 to 807 of the family's 1533-position model. The record is from RNAcentral.